GGGGUCAUAGUGUAAUCAGGCUAUCAUCUGGGACUCCAGAUCCUAGGAUCUGGGUUCAAAUCCCGGUGACCCCA
RNAcentral lists this transfer RNA (74 nucleotides) under Methanobacterium sp. RNAcentral describes it as "tRNA-Trp". It matches the Rfam family "tRNA". From Rfam's summary of the family: Transfer RNA (tRNA) molecules are approximately 80 nucleotides in length. Their secondary structure includes four short double-helical elements and three loops (D, anti-codon, and T loops). RNAcentral also lists the same sequence under 4 other names. The record is from RNAcentral. Lineage: Archaea; Methanobacteriati; Methanobacteriota; Methanobacteria; Methanobacteriales; Methanobacteriaceae.